AGGUUUCAUAUUUAGGAGUUGUUCAUAAACAGUUUAGGCCAUCACUGCCCAAUCCAUUAUGCAGAGAGGGGCCAGCUCGAGUAAACUUCCGGAGCUAGAAUCACUUUUCACCGCAAACAUUUAAGCAGCAGGGCCCCUGAAACGAGCCCCCAGGGCAUGCCGACCCCCUCCAACUCCCAAUGAAACAAGUAAGAAAUUCUAUGCAUAUUUUGGGCCCUUUUUCUCGGAAAGGCAGCCGUGACCUGCAUUUUGGGCUGACCAAUCGGAGGGUUGCUUGUCCGUGGCUGAAGGUUGGGCUUUUGUGGGCUGUGGACCGGGAAUAAUUACUCUAUUUUAUCAAAGAGGGAUAAAAGUCCUGACUGGACUGGCGACUAUUAAAUUUAAAAGCGGUUUCUUUGGGUGAAUAUUUUUAAAAGAAAUUACGGAAAAGCUUUGCGUACAAGAAUGUUAGUCAGAAAUACUGUCUAAGUUUACACAUAUAUAUGUACAGUAUGAAUGUAUAUGUACAGAUUACUCAUUACAUGUGAGGUAUAAAUUGAAGCUGUAUUUUUGUUGAAAAAUAGAGAUUUUAAACAUUCCUAGAGGUAGGAAUUUGCAAACAUAGUAUGAGUUGGUGUAACUAAAGGUUUGGGUUUUAGAAUAUUAUUUUAUUCACCAAUAAAACUGCAGAAAAAUGCUACAGGAUCCACUAAAUUUUAAGGCCAAAUAGGAAAAUGUGCAUAGUUCUCAAAACACUCAGCAUCGUUCGAGCACAAAUGUUCACAACAGGUCUGUACACAUUUUUUUUUAAUGCCAGUUUGUAUAUUUUGUAUAUCUAGUAAUGUUGUUAUUUGUUUGGUUUUUAAUUUUUGUAAUUUUUUUUUGUAGAUAAUUUAACCACAGAAAAAGGAAAUAUACAGACGGCGGUUAUCACAAAGAGUAUUAAGGAAAUCUUUCGCGGCCCUUUGAACUCUGCUAUCUGUACAAAGGAUUUGGGGUUCCCCCUCCGAAUUACCUGCAAGUUUUCAAAAAGGACGCUGCCAUAGGUCACUUCAUUUAUUAACGUUGUUAAACAAGUUCAGUUCCUGGUCGUUUCGGGGUAUAGUUUCCCCGCAUGAAAAAUCCCUUUAUGAAGCAUUA
Long non-coding RNA from Patiria miniata (bat star), 1119 nucleotides. RefSeq lists it as uncharacterized. The record is from RefSeq and is a predicted model, not a curated record. NCBI's taxonomy places the organism in Eukaryota, Metazoa, Echinodermata, Asteroidea, Valvatida, Asterinidae. The transcript has 2 exons.